GACGAACGCUGGCGGCGUGCCUAAUACAUGCAAGUCGAGCGAGCGGCGGACGGGUGAGUAAUGUAUGGGGACUGCCCGCUAGAGGGGGAUAACUACUGGAAACGGUGGCUAAUACCGCAUACUCUCGGAUAACCCAUAUGGGAUUAUCUAUUAGGUGGGGUAAAGGCUCACCUAGGCGACGAUCUCUAGCUGGUCUGAGAGGAUGAUCGGCCACACUGGGACUGAGAAACGGCCAAGACUCCUACGGGGGCAGCAGUGGGGAAUAUUGCACAAUGGGCGCAAUCCUGAUGCAGCAAUGCCGCGUGGAUGAAGAAGGCUUUAGGGUUGUAAAGUACUUUAAGCGGGGAGGCGGUACCCGCAGAGGAAGCAACGGCUAACUCCGUGCCAGCAGCCGCGGUAAUUC
This 403-nucleotide ribosomal RNA is filed under the name uncultured bacterium. RNAcentral describes it as "partial 16S ribosomal RNA". It matches the Rfam family "Bacterial small subunit ribosomal RNA", at positions 28 to 526 of the family's 1533-position model. The record is from RNAcentral.